This is a non-coding RNA of Parasteatoda tepidariorum (common house spider), 343 nucleotides long. The record is from RefSeq and is a predicted model, not a curated record. NCBI's taxonomy places the organism in Eukaryota, Metazoa, Arthropoda, Arachnida, Araneae, Theridiidae.
CAAACCAAUGCUAUGAAUGGAGAUCUGAAAGAAGGCAAAAGUCGACCCUUCUAUCAAGCGAUGAAAACUACUUUCGAUACUGAUGUGAAAUUCUCUGAAGGAAGGUGCAAUAAAGUUUUGCCUUAGCGUCUGCUGCAUACCAAGAAAACCUACCCACUCACUACACUGAGGAUUAUCAUGAAACUAGGCUUGCUCACGCUUUACACAUAUUUAACAUCCACGCAAGGUGUCCGGCCUUGCUGAGAUUCGCUCAGCAGCUGAUGGAAGACUGCGAAAGGCUCUGGAAAAACGGACAUCAAAUGUGCGAAGUUCUCAGUCUUACUGGAAAUCAUUGCAUGAAUCC